UGGGGAAUCUUGCGCAAUGCGCGAAAGCGUGACGCAGCAACGCCGCGUGUGGGAAGACGGCCUUCGGGUUGUAAACCACUUUCAGUUGGGACGAAGCCUUGUCGGUGAAUAGCCGGCGGAGGUGACGGUACCUUCAGAAGAAGCCCCGGCUAACUACGUGCCAGCAGCCGCGGUAAUACGUAGGGGGCAAGCGUUGUCCGGAAUCAUUGGGCGUAAAGCGCGUGUAGGCGGCCAGGUAAGUCCGUUCUGAAAGCCCGGGGCUCAACCCCGGGAGGCGGAUGGAUACUGCUUGGCUCGAGUCCGGAAGAGGUGAGUGGAAUUCCCGGUGUAGCGGUGAAAUGCGCAGAUAUCGGGAGGAACACCAAUGGCGAAGGCAGCUCACUGGGACGGUACUGACGCUGAGACGCGAAAGCGUGGGGAGCAAACAG
RNAcentral lists this ribosomal RNA (428 nucleotides) under uncultured bacterium. RNAcentral's name for it is "bacterial SSU rRNA". It matches the Rfam family "Bacterial small subunit ribosomal RNA", at positions 355 to 775 of the family's 1533-position model. The record is from RNAcentral.